Molecule: long non-coding RNA, 777 nt
Organism: Lactuca sativa (garden lettuce)
Lineage: Eukaryota; Viridiplantae; Streptophyta; Magnoliopsida; Asterales; Asteraceae
Source: RefSeq, a predicted model, not a curated record
GGCUUUUGGGUGGAGUCGACGGCUGAAGCAUGAAUAUUAGGGUUUGGUCUUGUAUUAUUACCAAGUAAAAACAAUAUCUCGAUCGGAGAUAAAGUUGUUGGUGGUCACAUGCGAGCACUAAAGAAUACGACAGAAAUAGUAAAUUAUAUACACCCACUUGCAUCAGUUUGCUUAUAUAAAUGCAACGAGCAUAAAUAGAUCAGUAUUCAUCAAGAUCUAAUGAUCUAUAUUGAGUUCAUGAGCUUCCCCUCUAAUGGCUUCCUCAAUCGAUUCUACAGCAAUACUUUUCAGAUGGCUUGUUUCUAUAAAGCUUUUGAUUGAAACCAAUUAUGACUGGUGGCCGGAAAUGAUGACGUGUGAUGGAGAGAGCCAUUGUAUAUUUAAAACCGCCAAGGAGAAUGGUGAUUCUAAAGAUAAGGUAGACCGGACUACCGUGGAGCUGAAGCUGUAAGCAUAAUGGAUCUAUCUUCCACUUCAAGAGCUUCUUUCAGCUACAAUAAAACCGGGAGUUGUUGAUUUUCUUGCAUUCAGUGGAGUUUGCAAGUCAGUCAGCAAAGUUUGCAAGUCACUCAGCGGAGUUUGCAAGUCAAAUAUCUAGAUUUGCUAGCUGGGUUUGUAAACUAUACUAUUUAACAACGGAGUUUGCAAGUCAUAGAUGUUAUUUGAAAUUUUUAAUAAAUCAUAUAGAUAUCUACAAGUUAACUAAUAUAUUAAUUAAUAUAGUUGGUUUGUUAUUUAUUUUUGGCUUGAAUAUGAGGUGUACAUUGUUUUUCAAAA